This 464-nucleotide ribosomal RNA is filed under the name uncultured bacterium. Its description in RNAcentral is "bacterial SSU rRNA". It matches the Rfam family "Bacterial small subunit ribosomal RNA", at positions 33 to 507 of the family's 1533-position model. The record is from RNAcentral.
ACACGCUGGCGGCGUGCCUGACACAUGCAAGUCGGACGGUUCUGUAUCUUCAAGCUUGCUUGCAGGUGCAAGGAUAGUGGCGACGGGUGAGUAACGCGUGAACAUCUACCCAUUGGAGGGGGACAACCCGUCGAAAGGCGGGCUAAUACCGCGUAAGCCGCGAGGUGAGAGGCUGCCUAUUGGUGGCCGCCGAUGGAUGGGUUCGCGUCCUAUCAGCUGGUUGGUGGGGUAACGGCCUACCAAGGCGAAGACGGGUAGCCGGUCUGAGAGGAUGGCCGGCCACACUGGAACUGAGACACGGUCCAGACUCCUACGGGAGGCAGCAGUGGGGAAUAUUGGGCAAUGGGGGAGACCCUGACCCAGCGACGCCGCGUGAGGGAUGAAGGUUUUCGGAUCGUAAACCUCUGUUGUACGGGAAGAAGGAUGUGACGGUACCGUACGAGAAAGCCCCGGCAAACUACGUG